AUGCUUAAUCUUGGCAGCACAUCUGCUAAAACUGGAACAAUACAGAGAAGAUUAGUGGGGCCCGUGCACAUGGAUGACUCUUUUGGCUGGGUCCCUUUCCAGAGGUAG
Hemicordylus capensis (graceful crag lizard) is the source of this 108-nucleotide small nuclear RNA. NCBI's taxonomy places the organism in Eukaryota, Metazoa, Chordata, Lepidosauria, Squamata, Cordylidae. The record is from RefSeq and is a predicted model, not a curated record.